RNAcentral lists this ribosomal RNA (253 nucleotides) under uncultured bacterium. RNAcentral describes it as "partial 16S ribosomal RNA". It matches the Rfam family "Bacterial small subunit ribosomal RNA", at positions 524 to 776 of the family's 1533-position model. The record is from RNAcentral.
UACGUAAGUGGCAAGCGUUGUCCGGAAUUAUUGGGCGUAAAGCGCGCGCAGGCGGUCCUUUAAGUCUGAUGUGAAAGCCCACGGCUCAACCGUGGAGGGUCAUUGGAAACUGGGGGACUUGAGUACAGAAGAGAAGAGUGGAAUUCCACGUGUAGCGGUGAAAUGCGUAGAUAUCUGGAGGAACACCGGUGGCGAAGGCGGCAUCCUGGACCAAUACUGACGCUGAGGAGCGAAAGCCAGGGGAGCAAACGGG